UGGGCUAUAGCCAAGCGGUAAGGCAACGGACUUUGACUUCGUCACGCGCUGGUUCGAAUCCAGCUAGCCCAG
Molecule: transfer RNA, 72 nt
Filed under: Staphylococcus kloosii
Lineage: Bacteria; Bacillati; Bacillota; Bacilli; Caryophanales; Staphylococcaceae
Description: tRNA-Gln
Rfam family: tRNA
About the family: Transfer RNA (tRNA) molecules are approximately 80 nucleotides in length. Their secondary structure includes four short double-helical elements and three loops (D, anti-codon, and T loops). Further hydrogen bonds mediate the characteristic L-shaped molecular structure. tRNAs have two regions of fundamental functional importance: the anti-codon, which is responsible for specific mRNA codon recognition, and the 3' end, to which the tRNAs corresponding amino acid is attached (by aminoacyl-tRNA synthetases). tRNAs cope with the degeneracy of the genetic code in two manners: having more than one tRNA (with a specific anti-codon) for a particular amino acid; and 'wobble' base-pairing, i.e. permitting non-standard base-pairing at the 3rd anti-codon position.
Source: RNAcentral